Molecule: ribosomal RNA, 253 nt
Filed under: uncultured bacterium
Lineage: Bacteria
Description: partial 16S ribosomal RNA
Rfam family: Bacterial small subunit ribosomal RNA
Source: RNAcentral
UACGUAGGGUGCGAGCGUUAAUCGGAAUUACUGGGCGUAAAGCGUGCGCAGGCGGUUUUGUAAGUCUGACGUGAAAGCCCCGGGCUCAACCUGGGAAUUGCGUUGGAGACUGCAAGGCUAGAGUACGGCAGAGGGGGAUGGAAUUCCGCGUGUAGCAGUGAAAUGCGUAGAUAUGCGGAGGAACACCGAUGGCGAAGGCAAUCCCCUGGGCCUGCACUGACGCUCAUGCACGAAAGCGUGGGGAGCAAACAGG